GAUGAAGAACGUAGCGAAAUGCGAUAAGUAAUGUGAAUUGCAGAAUUCCGUGAAUCAUCGAAUCUUUGAACGCAUAUUGCGCCCUCUGGUAUUCCGGAGGGCAUGCCUGUUCGAGCGUCAUUUGUACCUUCAAGCUUUGCUUGGUGUUGGGUGUUUGUCUCGCCUUUGCGUGUAGACUCGCCUUAAAAUAAUUGGCAGCCGGCGUAUUGAUUUCGGAGCGCAGUACAUCUCGCGCUUUGCACUCAUAACGACAGCGUCCAAAAGUACAUUUUACACUCUUGACCUCGGAUCAGGUAGGGAUACCCGCUGAACUUAAGCAUAUCAAUAAGCGGAGGA
RNAcentral lists this unclassified non-coding RNA (336 nucleotides) under soil metagenome. RNAcentral's name for it is "partial contains 5.8S ribosomal RNA, internal transcribed spacer 2, and large subunit ribosomal RNA". The stretch from base 1 to 120 matches the Rfam family "5.8S ribosomal RNA", at positions 35 to 154 of the family's 154-position model. The record is from RNAcentral.